GGUGCCAGCGGCCGCGGUAAUACCUGCGGCCCGAGUGGUGGUCGUUAUUAUUGAGCCUAAAGCGUCCGUAGCCGGUUCAGUAAAUCUUUGGGUAAAUCGGGCAGCUCAACGGUCCGAAUUCCGGAAAGACUGCUGAACUGGGGACCGGGGGAGGUUGGAGGUACUCCUGGGGUAGGGGUGAAAUCCUGUAAUCCUAGGGGGACCACCAGUGGCGAAGGCGUCCAACCAAAACGGCUCCGACGGUAAGGGACGAAGCCCUGGGGCGCAAACGGGAUUAGAUACCCCGGUAGUCCAGGGUGUAAACGCUGCAGGCUUGGUGUUGGGGGUCCUACGAGGGCGCCCAGUGCCGGAGAGAAGUUGUUAAGCCUGCCGCUUGGGGAGUACGUCCGCAAGGAUGAAACUUAAAGGAAUUGGCGGGGGAGCACAGCAACGGGUGGAGCGUGCGGUUCAAUUGGAUUCAACGCCGUAAAACUCACCGGGAGCGACGGUUACAUGAAGGCCAGGCUGAUGACCUUGCCUGAUUUUCCGAGAGGUGGUGCAUGGCCGUCGUCAGUUCGUACCGUAAGGCGUUCUGUUAAGUCAGAUAACGAACGAGACCCUCAUCCUUAUUUGCUACUAUUCCUUUCGAGGGAUAGGCACUAUAAGGAGACCGCUGGCGCUAAGUCAGAGGAGGGAGAGGUCAACGGUAGGUCAGUAUGCCCCGAAUCUCCCGGGCAACACGCGCGCUACAAAGGACUGGACAAUGAGUUUCAACACCGAAAGGUGAAGGCAAUCUCGAAACCAGUUCAUAGUCCGGAUUGAGGGCUGUAAUUCGCCCUCAUGAAGCUGGAAUCCGUAGUAAUCGCGGGUCAACAUCCCGCGGUGAAUAUGCCCCUGCUCCUUGCACACACCGCCCGUCAAACCAUCCGAGUUGGGUCUAGAUGAGGGUGCCUCUACUAGGGGCGUCAAAUC
This 951-nucleotide ribosomal RNA is filed under the name uncultured euryarchaeote. RNAcentral describes it as "bacterial SSU rRNA". It matches the Rfam family "Archaeal small subunit ribosomal RNA", at positions 454 to 1409 of the family's 1478-position model. The record is from RNAcentral. Lineage: Archaea; Methanobacteriati; Methanobacteriota.